GGCAAUGAUGCAUAACACACAAGAAACAUGAUGGACCAGAAUUAGAAAAUGUGAUUUGCAAGUAGGGCCGGGUAAUAAUUCAAUAUCAUCGUUGAAAGACUUUCAGCCAAAUCAUAUCAUGAUGAUUUCUGUCCAAAUUCCUAGAAGAUGUUAUUAAAAAGUAACAAAAUUUGUUUUUUUAAUGUUUUGUAUUACACAAUAAAGACUUUGGUCUCAUGUAUGCCACAUAAAAGUGUAGCACAGUUCUGUUUGAUUAUUCUAUAUGUAUAAUUGUGCAUGCAUUUGCCUUAUCUAUCAGGAAAUAUCCCCGUUGUUAAUGUGAUAAUGACUUCAGAUGUAUUGCCCAGCUCUAGAGGCAAUUUGCCCUUGAAGAAAGCAUCUAACAUGCAGAUGUAUAAGUAUAGCUGUUCAGUGCCAAUAACAAUGAGAAAUGAGGCAUUGCUAAAAAGCAGUUGUGCCAAAAUACAGAUUCCUUCAUCCUAGCCUGGAGGUUGAUCAAAUGUCAAGUUACAUGCAUGAAGCUCAAACCUGCUACAUAGAAAAAAUGCCAUGUCAUCAAUCUCAAAGCAUUUCUUCUCCUACUCUGCAGAAUUGACGUUUUAAAGAUCAAAGGUGUAUAAUCAGAAAGCACAGCAGUCUGUUGUGAUUUGCAACAACCUCUUGUUUGCAUAUUCACCUUAUCAUACAACUACCUUAUCUACUCAUGCAAAUUUUCUGUUAUCUGUAUGGAUUGAACAAGCACAUUAAAAAAAAAACCCUUCUCAGGAAGUAUUCCAAUGCUUUUCUACAUGUGGGUUAACCACCAUUAUUUUUAUUAUGAUUUUAAGUCCAACUUUUUUCUUAUCAGAUGAUCAGGGGCAUGUUGGUCCUUGUCAUCACAUCAAGCUUUAGACUCUUAUGUAUUUAUUAUGACUCAAUUUCACAACACAGACCAAAAACACCUUGUUUCUUUCUUUUUUUAUUUUUUACUUAUUUUUUAAUUGAGUCAGCAUUGGAGAGUGCCCCUUUGAGGGUUUUUUUUGCACCUCUCCAUCACAUUUUUUUAUUGUUUCCGUGUACAUCAACUUGUAUCUUUUGCACAUGUGUAAACAAAUAAGGCGAUUUCACAGAUUAAGACAGCAGAGGCCAGGAGUCAAGUGAAUAGCCGCUGUAUUAGCUUAAAGGGAUGCACACUGCUCCACAUGUGGUGUUUACAGAAGAAACAGCUAUUUCUAUAAUACUGAAGUCAUGACAGUUAGAGGCCUUUAACGCAUUCAUCUAUCAAGCCAGAUUGAGAGAGGCCAAAGAAACACUCGAUACGGAGAAGCCUCGAGGACGCACUCCUGCACCAUAACAACACACGCAGGGGGAGUCGACGACUCCAUGACGUCCCUGUGGAUGGACUUGGGCCGUGGCUUCUUCUUGAGACUUCCAGAUCGGGGUUUGAUGACUUCA
This is a long non-coding RNA of Thunnus maccoyii (southern bluefin tuna), 1434 nucleotides long. RefSeq lists it as uncharacterized. The transcript has 3 exons. Lineage: Eukaryota; Metazoa; Chordata; Actinopteri; Scombriformes; Scombridae. The record is from RefSeq and is a predicted model, not a curated record.